Molecule: long non-coding RNA, 257 nt
Filed under: Arabidopsis lyrata
Lineage: Eukaryota; Viridiplantae; Streptophyta; Magnoliopsida; Brassicales; Brassicaceae
Description: long non-coding RNA (ALYR_LNC002274)
Source: RNAcentral
CACUGCCAUCUCUGCAUUGCUUGAGUUCUCACUCAUGGGUAUCUCCGACAAGAAAGAAAAGCCGCAGCAACCGCUACGUCCUCACAAGGAACCUUCUCCUCCUCAAACUCCACUUGCAUCUCCUGAAGAGAAGGUUAAUGAUCUCCAGAAGGAGAUUCACCAGAUGUCUGUUGAAAGAGAAACUUUCAAGCUUGAAAUGAUGAGUGCAGAAGCUAUGAUCAGUAUUCUCCAGUCAAGGAUCGAUGCGCUGCGUCAGG